This 429-nucleotide ribosomal RNA is filed under the name Acidobacteriota bacterium. RNAcentral's name for it is "Acidobacteria bacterium partial 16S ribosomal RNA". It matches the Rfam family "Bacterial small subunit ribosomal RNA", at positions 355 to 776 of the family's 1533-position model. Lineage: Bacteria; Pseudomonadati; Acidobacteriota. The record is from RNAcentral.
UGGGGAAUUUUGGACAAUGGGGGAAACCCUGAUCCAGCCAUCCCGCGUGUGCGAUGAAGGCCUUCGGGUUGUAAAGCACUUUUGGCAGGAAAGAAACGUCAUGGGUUAAUACCCCGUGAAACUGACGGUACCUGCAGAAUAAGCACCGGCUAACUACGUGCCAGCAGCCGCGGUAAUACGUAGGGUGCAAGCGUUAAUCGGAAUUACUGGGCGUAAAGCGUGCGCAGGCGGUUCGGAAAGAAAGAUGUGAAAUCCCAGAGCUCAACUUUGGAACUGCAUUUUUAACUACCGGGCUAGAGUGUGUCAGAGGGAGGUGGAAUUCCGCGUGUAGCAGUGAAAUGCGUAGAUAUGCGGGGGAACACCGAUGGCGAAGGCAGCCUCCUGGGAUAACACUGACGCUCAUGCACGAAAGCGUGGGGAGCAAACAGG